AGGCUGAGGACACGUUUUUUUCCUCUUAAAGGGCGCCACUCCCCUAUGUAAGGCAAUUUUGACAGGCUUUCAGAAAGUCAAACUGCCCUCUGCAAGCCUCAGCAAACUCGAUCUUUUGUGAGGCAUCCCAAAGUUCCCAGGUGUGACUCACAGAAUGACAAAAUCUGUACUAAAAAUGACACUGAGAGCUAGAUGAUUGAGAAUGCUCACUGAUGAUUCAGAGCAAACCAUGUGUGGCAUGGAACG
This is a long non-coding RNA of Lonchura striata (white-rumped munia), 246 nucleotides long. RefSeq lists it as uncharacterized. Lineage: Eukaryota; Metazoa; Chordata; Aves; Passeriformes; Estrildidae. The record is from RefSeq and is a predicted model, not a curated record.